AGGAGAUUAGCUUUUUUCUUUUCUUUUUUUUUAUCAUCAUUUUUUAUUGCAUUAUUUUUUUGAAAAUAAACAUGCUAUGAUGCAAAUGAUGCAAUUAUGACUGGUUGGCUGUGUGUCUAGGAGCACAGGUUCAAAGUUUCGGCUUGAAUUCGGAACCACAAAGUCAUCUGAAACCCAUAUCUCUGAACCAAGUCACCAACGGGAACCAAUAGUCACCAACAGAUCAA
RNAcentral lists this long non-coding RNA (227 nucleotides) under Lathyrus oleraceus (garden pea). RNAcentral's name for it is "Pisum sativum (pea) long non-coding RNA (PSAT_LNC010831)". Lineage: Eukaryota; Viridiplantae; Streptophyta; Magnoliopsida; Fabales; Fabaceae. The record is from RNAcentral.